RNAcentral lists this ribosomal RNA (465 nucleotides) under uncultured bacterium. Its description in RNAcentral is "partial 16S ribosomal RNA". It matches the Rfam family "Bacterial small subunit ribosomal RNA", at positions 28 to 507 of the family's 1533-position model. The record is from RNAcentral.
GACGAACGCUGGCGGCGUGCUUAACACAUGCAAGUCGAACGGAAAGGCCCUGCUUGCAGGGUACUCGAGUGGCGAACGGGUGAGUAACACGUGGGUGAUCUGCCCUGCACUUCGGGAUAAGCCUGGGAAACUGGGUCUAAUACCGGAUAGGAGCCAUUUUUAGUGUGAUGGUUGGAAAGUUUUUUCGGUGUAGGAUGAGCUCGCGGCCUAUCAGCUUGUUGGUGGGGUAAUGGCCUACCAAGGCGGCGACGGGUAGCCGGCCUGAGAGGGUGGACGGCCACAUUGGGACUGGGAUACGGCCCAGACUCCUACGGGAGGCAGCAGUGGGGAAUAUUGCACAAUGGGCGCAAGCCUGAUGCAGCGACGCCGCGUGGGGGAUGACGGCCGUCGGGUUGUAAACUCCAUUCGCUAGGGACGAAGCUUUUUGUGACGGUACCUAGAUAAGAAGCACCGGCUAACUACGUG